Molecule: ribosomal RNA, 864 nt
Filed under: uncultured bacterium
Lineage: Bacteria
Description: bacterial SSU rRNA
Rfam family: Bacterial small subunit ribosomal RNA
Source: RNAcentral
AGAGUUUGAUCAUGGCUCAGAGCGAACGCUGGCGGCAGGCUUAACACAUGCAAGUCGAGCGCUCGUAGCAAUACGAGAGCGGCAGACGGGAGAGUAACACGUGGGAACAUGCCCUUCGGUUCGGAAUAACCCAGGGAAACUUGGGCUAAUACCGGAUACGUCCGUAAGGAGAAAGAUUUAUUGCCGAAGGAUUGGCCCGCGUCCGAUUAGCUAGUUGGUGAGGUAAUGGCUCACCAAGGCGACGAUCGGUAGCUGGUCUGAGAGGAUGAUCAGCCUCAUUGGGACUGAGACACGGCCCAAACUCCUACGGGAGGCAGCAGUGGGGAAUAUUGGACAAUGGGCGCAAGCCUGAUCCAGCCAUGCCGCGUGGGUGAUGGAGGCCCUAGGGUUGUAAAGCCCUUUCGGCGGGGAAGAUAAUGACGGUACCCGCAGAAGAAGCCCCGGCUAACUUCGUGCCAGCAGCCGCGGUAAUACGAAGGGGGCUAGCGUUGCUCGGAAUCACUGGGCGUAAAGCGCACGUAGGCGGGCAUUUAAGUCGGUGGUGAAAUCCUGGAGCUCAACUCCAGAACUGCCUUCGAUACUGGAUGUCUUGGAGUCCGGGAGAGGUGAGUGGAACUGCGAGUGUAGAGGUGAAAUUCGUAGAUAUUCGCAAGAACACCAGUGGCGAAGGCGGCUCACUGGCCCGGUACUGACGCUGAGGUGCGAAAGCGUGGGGAGCAAACAGGAUUAGAUACCCUGGUAGUCCACGCCGUAAACGAUGGAAGCUAGCCGUUGGCGGGUUUACUCGUCAGUGGCGCAGCUAACGCAUUAAGCUUCCCGCCUGGGGAGUACGGUCGCAAGAUUAAAACUCAAAGGAAUUGACGG